This 465-nucleotide unclassified non-coding RNA is filed under the name uncultured fungus. RNAcentral describes it as "sequence contains ITS1, 5.8S rRNA gene, ITS2". The stretch from base 248 to 401 matches the Rfam family "5.8S ribosomal RNA". Lineage: Eukaryota; Fungi. The record is from RNAcentral.
UGCGGAGGAUCAUUAUUGAAUAAACUUGGUUGGGUUGCUGCUGGCUCUUAGGAGCAUGUGCACGCUCACUCCAUUUUUUAACCACCUGUGCACAUAUUGUAGGCCUGAAUGGACAUUUCGAGGAAACUCGGUUUGAGAAUUGCUAUGAAAAUAAGCUGUUCUUGUAUAAUUCAGGUCUAUGUUUUAAAUCAUAUACACAAGUAACAGAAUGUAAAUCAUAGGCCUUCUGUGCCUUUAAAUCUAAUACAACUUUCAACAACGGAUCUCUUGGCUCUCGCAUCGAUGAAGAACGCAGCGAAAUGCGAUAAGUAAUGUGAAUUGCAGAAUUCAGUGAAUCAUCGAAUCUUUGAACGCACCUUGCGCUCCUUGGUAUUCCGAGGAGCAUGCCUGUUUGAGUGUCAUGAAAUUAUCAACCUCUCUGGCUUUUAUUAGCUGGUAAGGCUUGGAUUAUGGGAGUUGCUGGUU